GACGAACGCUGGCGGCAUGCUUAACACAUGCAAAUCGAACGGUAAGGCCCUUCGGGGUACACGAGUGGCGAACGGGUGAGUAACACGUGGGUGAUCUGCCCUGCACUUCGAGAUAAGCCUGGGAAACUGGGUCUAAUACCGGAUAGGACCACUGCCUGCAUGGGUGGCGGUGGAAAGCUUUUGUGGUGUGGGAUGGGCCCGCGGCCUAGCAGCUUGUUGGUGGGGUGAUGGCCUACCAAGGCGACGACGGGUAGCCGGCCUGAGAGGGUGACCGGCCACACUGGGACUGAGAUACGGCCCAGACUCCUACGGGAGGCAGCAGUGGGGAAUAUUGCACAAUGGGCGCAAGCCUGAUGCAGCGACGCCGCGUGAGGGAUGACGGCCUACGGGUUGUAAACCUCUUUCAGCACCGACGAAGCGCAAGUGACGGUAGGUGCAGAAGAAGGACCGGCCAACUACGUGCCAGCCGCCGCAGUAA
RNAcentral lists this ribosomal RNA (478 nucleotides) under uncultured bacterium. RNAcentral's name for it is "partial 16S ribosomal RNA". It matches the Rfam family "Bacterial small subunit ribosomal RNA", at positions 28 to 523 of the family's 1533-position model. The record is from RNAcentral.